UUCCGGUUGAUCCUGCCGGACCUGACUGCUAUCGGAUUGAUACUAAGCCAUGCGAGUCUUUGUAGUAAUACAAGGCAUACGGCUCAGUAACGCGUAGUCAACCUACCCUAUGGACAAGAAUAAUCUCGGGAAACUGAGCAUAAUUCUUGAUAGAUCAUAAUGCCUGGAAUGGUUUAUGGUUAAAAUGAUUCGUCGCCAUAGGAUGGGACUGCGGCCUAUCAGCUUGUUGGUGAGGUAAUGGCCCACCAAGGCGAUUACAGGUACGGGCUCUGAGAGGAGAAGCCCGGAGAUGGGUACUGAGACACGGACCCAGGCCCUAUGGGGCGCAGCAGGCGAGAAAACUUUGCAAUGUGCGAAAGCACGACAAGGUUAGUCCGAGUGAUUUCUGCUAAAGAGAUCUUUUGCUAGUUAUAAAACCACUAGUGAAUAAGGGGUGGGCAAGUUCUGGUGUCAGCCGCCGCGGUAAAACCAGCACCUCAAGUGGUCAGGAUGAUUAUUGGGCCUAAAGCAUCCGUAGCCGGCUCUGUAAGUUUUCGGUUAAAUCUAUGCGCUCAACGUAUGGGCUGCCGAAAAUACUGUAGAGAUAGGGAGUGGGAGAGGUAGACGGUACUCGGUAGGAAGGGGUAAAAUCCUUUGAUCUAUCGAUGACCACCUGUGGCGAAGGCGGUCUACCAGAACACGUUCGACGGUGAGGGAUGAAAGCUGGGGGAGCAAACCGGAUUAGAUACCCGGGUAGUCCCAGCUGUAAACGAUGCAGACUCGAUGAUGCAUUGGCAUAUAGCCAGUGCAGUGUCGCAGGGAAGCCGUUAAGUCUGCCGCCUGGGAAGUACGUACGCAAGUAUGAAACUUAAAGGAAUUGGCGGGGGAGCACCACAAGGGGUGAAGCCUGCGGUUCAAUUGGAUUCAACGCCGGG
RNAcentral lists this ribosomal RNA (914 nucleotides) under uncultured marine archaeon. RNAcentral describes it as "bacterial SSU rRNA". It matches the Rfam family "Archaeal small subunit ribosomal RNA", at positions 1 to 922 of the family's 1478-position model. The record is from RNAcentral.